Molecule: ribosomal RNA, 450 nt
Filed under: uncultured bacterium
Lineage: Bacteria
Description: partial 16S ribosomal RNA
Rfam family: Bacterial small subunit ribosomal RNA
Source: RNAcentral
GUGGGGAAUAUUGGACAAUGGGCGAAAGCCUGAUCCAGCCACGCCGCGUGAGUGAUGAAGGCCUUCGGGUUGUAAAGCUCUGUGGGGAGGGAAGAAAAAGCGCAGGAGUAACUGCCUGUGUGUUGACGGUACCUCCUUAGCAAGCACCGGCUAACUCUGUGCCAGCAGCCGCGGUAAUACAGAGGGUGCAAACGUUGCUCGGAAUUACUGGGCGUAAAGCGCGUGUAGGCUGACAUGCAAGUCGGGUGUGAAAUCCCAGGGCUCAACCUUGGAACUGCACUCGAAACUGCACGUCUUGAGUACUGGAGAGGGAAGCGGAAUUCCGGGUGUAGAGGUGAAAUUCGUAGAUAUCCGGAGGAACACCAGUGGCGAAGGCGGCUUCCUGGACAGUAACUGACGCUGAGACGCGAAAGCGUGGGGAGCAAACAGGAUUAGAUACCCCGGUAGUCC